Molecule: long non-coding RNA, 2806 nt
Filed under: Marmota monax (woodchuck)
Lineage: Eukaryota; Metazoa; Chordata; Mammalia; Rodentia; Sciuridae
Source: RNAcentral
UCCAAGCAGCACAGGGGAGUGGCCCAGUGGCUGAGCCUGUGUAAGGCUGUGACUCUAUGCUCUGUUCCAGACAGGAAUUUCAGGCUUGGACUGGAGUGAAACCCUCAAGACCCCCAAAAGCAAAACCAGCCAGAGUUAUCACAACCCACACCUCCGGAUGGGACGGCGGCACUGGGGCCAGCUUCCAGGUCAGGUGCUACGGGGGCCCUGGCCACAGAAGCCUUCCUUCCAGCGUGGGGAUUAGGAGAGAUUUUAGUGGAUUUAAAUGUUAUGAUCAGGGAGAGCAGUGCCCAGGAAGUUGUUACUGACAGAAAACUAAGGUAACUGUCGUUAGCCAGAUGGGUACCCUUCCAGUGCUGGCUUCUCUGGUGAGCAGGGGUCUCUCUGCCUCCUAAAUCCCAACCUUAACCUCAACUACUAAGUACCAGUGACCUUCCUUCCAAAUAUGUAGCAUUGGCCUGGGGAGCUGCUCAGUGUGGAGCACCUGCCUAGCCUGAGUAAGAUGUUGGGUUCCAUCUCCAGCAACCCAAUAUGUGGGCCACCAUAUAAAAUGCAAGAGAAAAUGGAAGGGACGCGAGGAUUGUUUCCUGAUCCCACCCAAGAGGCUUCAGGGAGCAGAAAGGAAGGUUCACAGGGUGUGUCUAACCUGCUACUGCAGCGACACUGCUCACGGUUGGCAGCAGUCCCCUUUUGACCUUCAGGUAGUAGUUCCAACUCCUGGACAAUGCGAGGAAUUCUUUUCCUGGAGCCAGGGGUGGGAGGGAGUUGAGAAAAAGGCCCACUGAUGUGGCCACAUUUCAUUUUUCAGGUCCCUGAAGUGAGGAAGAAGUUCACUCCUAACCCCUCAGCCAUCUUUCAGGCGUCAGCUCCCCGAAUUCUCAACGUGUGACUGCGUCAGCAUGGAACGAUGGCUGCUGGAAUAUUGCUGAGAAAGGAGCCUGGCUCUGUCCUCUGCUUUCAGGAGGAGUGUGACUGCCCGGGCUGCGGGCCUGGCGUGGAGCACAGGUGCAAAUGGACCCGGCAUCACCAACUCCUCAGCCUCCCACAAAGUGUGUGGGAAGCUUCACAUCUGUUUUUAAUUGCCAUUUGGCCACUCUUCAGUUUUUAAAUUUGAAGAACCUGAGGACCAAUUCAAUUGUAAACCCAGCUGUCCAUGGGGCUGAGGAAUAUGGACGCAGCAGCUCCUUGGCAGAGCCAGUGAUGUCCACUUUGGGUGGUUUUCCCAGGAUGCAUGAGAAUUUUAUUAAUUUUAUAACCUAUAGUAAUCCCAGGUGAUAUCCUUGGGUCUUUCUGCGGUGGCCCAUGUUUCAGAACUCAGGUUCCCACCUGCAUGUGAUUCAUGAGAUGCUGAAUAGCCAAAAGAGGUUUCCAAAAGAAAAUUGUACCAAUCACAGGGUUUUGAUGUCAAAAACAUAAUUUCUUUAUAGCCAAGGUGGCCUUCAUGCUUCAACAAAACAUCUUGGGGUGAGUGAAAUAUUUAAAGACUAACAAUGACCAUGCGGUAGUUUUCUACAGGCAUAGCUCCCUAUUGUGUUUCAAUUUCCCCUAACAGGGAUGACUAAACCGAACAGCUGCACACACUGAGCAGGAAUUGGUGGCAUUUGCCUCACAUCAUUAAGAACCUUAGAACAUCAUCUCUACUGGGCCCCUGCCCUCAGGCCUACUCUGCACACUUAGUGACAGGAGGCUCAUUAUUGCUGCAGGGACAGCUGCUCCCAUCUUUGAAAGGCUCUCCUGUCUUCAUAAAUUCUAGCCAGUGUGGCUGCGUGGAACAAGCAGGGUCUCUUCUUUGCACAGCAGCCUUUCAAACACUUGAAGGGGUCUUGUAUCCCUUCUUGAAAAAUAGAGGCACAAGCUUGGGGCAGUUUUGGUAAGGAAAUUUGAGCAUUUCCUGUGGCUCUUCUUCCUCUUCAGCAGUGGCUCUGGUCUGCUGAAUGGUAAGGCCCCAGGCGGUGGCACUGGUUUCAGAUCACAGCAGGCUCAGAGGGGCCAUUUCCAGUUCAGGCUGCCUGCCAGUGUCCCCUCAGAGGUGCUAGCUCUGACAGGCAGGGCCCUCCCUCACUCCAGCUAAGGCAAUGCUCCGAUGACAGUCAUUUUAAAGGGAGAACAAACCAUAUGCUUACACAAAGGGUUCUACUGCUUUAGACUUCACUGGUUUGCAUGUUCUAUGUUUCUGGGCGGAGGAGACUGCCUGCUGGGCAUUCUGUGGGGGCCGAGCAGCUUAACUGUACAAUCUGACUUUACUAAAAUGCAAAAAUGCACGCUUUCAAUUUCUUAUUUUUUUAAAUUAUAAACAUGAGUCUCUCUUCACAUAUAUUGUCCCAUCUCUAAGUAAUGACUUUAAUGUGGCUCCUUCUAGUGUCCCUUGGAGGCUUAUAAAUGCUGAGCUCUUCUUACUGUGGGCUGCAGGUGAUACUGGUGUUGGUGGCACAGAGAACCCACUAGCCUCCCUGCUAUGCUUCAAUCCUUCCCACUGCCAUUCUGGAAUCCAGGGACAUGGACCCAUGAUGCUAGUCUCAGGCUCAAACCCUGUUUCAUCAUGACCAGCUGGGACUGGAGGGUGCUUCCAUUUCUUCAUGUGGACAGUUAGCUGCCACCACUUCCCCUGCUCUGGCUGGCCAAGAGCCCUCAUGUUUGUGCACAGGGUGUGGGGGGUGGGGUGAGCUCCAUAUGGUAACACCAAGCACAGCUGCUGGAAUAAUUCUUUCCAACCUAAGCCCCCCUUCCCUGGGCACCUCUAUUCCUGCCUGUAGCCAUUAACACCCUGUGCCCCAUGCUGCACCCUGCCUGAGGUCACACUGUGCAC